AAAUUGAAGAGUUUGAUCAUGGCUCAGAUUGAACGCUGGCGGCAGGCCUAACACAUGCAAGUCGAACGGUAACAGGAAGAAGCUUGCUUC
RNAcentral lists this ribosomal RNA (90 nucleotides) under Escherichia coli. Its description in RNAcentral is "partial 16S ribosomal RNA". It matches the Rfam family "Bacterial small subunit ribosomal RNA", at positions 1 to 86 of the family's 1533-position model. The record is from RNAcentral. Lineage: Bacteria; Pseudomonadati; Pseudomonadota; Gammaproteobacteria; Enterobacterales; Enterobacteriaceae. RNAcentral also lists the same sequence under 1 other name.